UAUCUAUUCGUCCAUCUCUAUUAGGGAUUUUAAUCUUGUUUCGGAUUCCGUUUUUCAACUUAAUGUCCUUAAUAAAGGAUUACCUAUUAAUUUACUGCUACUUGCUAUAAUUUGCUUUCCUUUAUCCAUUACGUAUUAAUCCACUUAGUCUUCUUAAAUUUACUAGAUUCUUUAGCUUUACCUAAAUCUAAUUUUUCUAGUUUAUUUAUUAUAUUAUUUAAAUGUUUAUUAUCUCUUAACUUUUCUUUUUCUAAUACUUUAACUCUACUUUCCAAUUUUUCUAAGUUAGGACUAGUAUCUAUUUCUCUUA
RNAcentral lists this long non-coding RNA (310 nucleotides) under Olea europaea subsp. europaea. The record is from RNAcentral. Lineage: Eukaryota; Viridiplantae; Streptophyta; Magnoliopsida; Lamiales; Oleaceae.